UACGUAAGGUGCGAGCGUUGUCCGGAAUUAUUGGGCGUAAAGAGCUCGUAGGCGGUGUGUCACGUCGGCCGUGAAAACCUGGGGCUUAACUCUGGGCGUGCGGUCGAUACGGGCAUCACUAGAGUUCGGCAGGGGAGACUGGAAUUCCGGGUGGAGUGGUGAAAUGCGUAGAGAUCCGGAGGAACACCGAAGGCGAAGGCAGUGUCCUGGCGAGUGACUGACGCUGAGGUGCGAAAGCCAGGGGAGCGAACGGG
This 254-nucleotide ribosomal RNA is filed under the name uncultured bacterium. RNAcentral's name for it is "partial 16S ribosomal RNA". It matches the Rfam family "Bacterial small subunit ribosomal RNA", at positions 524 to 776 of the family's 1533-position model. The record is from RNAcentral.